AGAAAAUGGUUUUUUUUUUUUUUUGAUGAGAAAGGGGUGAAGAGAAGGAGCGUGAGAUGGUCAUAUGGGCUUCGAGAACUUAGUGGGCUUCCGGAAUGAAAUCUCAAUCCGGGCUAGAAGAUCGGAAUCAAGUUGAAAGUUAAUGGGUCAUUCUCAUUCCAGUCUGGAAUAGAAAUUCCAAACCGAUUCAUGCGAACCAAACAAAAUUAACAGGAUUUGAUAAAAUUGAUUUCCAUUUCAUACCCAAAAUGGAUGAACCAAAUAAGUCCUUAAUGCACAAAUAAAUUCCAAAAAUCAUCUUGAUAAGUAAAAAAUUAAAAUUUAACCGAUUAGCUAUGGUCUCUGCUGGCAUCGUUGCCAUUUUUAAUUUUUUUUAAAAUAAUAAUUUUAGAUGAGUGAUAUUAUGAUGGAAGAAAAUUUUUAUUAUUAUUAUUAUUAUUAUUGGUUAA
This 449-nucleotide long non-coding RNA is filed under the name Ananas comosus (pineapple). Its description in RNAcentral is "long non-coding RNA (ACOM_LNC030485)". Lineage: Eukaryota; Viridiplantae; Streptophyta; Magnoliopsida; Poales; Bromeliaceae. The record is from RNAcentral.